Molecule: ribosomal RNA, 425 nt
Filed under: uncultured Clostridium sp.
Lineage: Bacteria; Bacillati; Bacillota; Clostridia; Eubacteriales; Clostridiaceae
Description: bacterial SSU rRNA
Rfam family: Bacterial small subunit ribosomal RNA
Source: RNAcentral
UGGGGAAUAUUGGGCAAUGGGCGCAAGCCUGACCCAGCAACGCCGCGUGAGGGAAGAAGGUUUUCGGAUUGUAAACCUCUGUCGCAGAAGACGAAGGAAGUGACGGUAUUCUGUGAGGAAGCCCCGGCUAACUACGUGCCAGCAGCCGCGGUAAUACGUAGGGGGCGAGCGUUGUCCGGAAUUACUGGGUGUAAAGGGAGCGUAGACGGUCUGGCAAGUCUGAUGUGAAAACCCAGGGCUCAACCUUGGGAUUGCAUUGGAAACUGUCAGGCUAGAGUGCAGGAGAGGUAAGUGGAAUUCCUAGUGUAGCGGUGAAAUGCGUAGAUAUUAGGAGGAACACCAGUGGCGAAAGCGGCUUACUGGACUGUAACUGACGUUGAGGCUCGAAAGCGUGGGGAGCAAACAGGAUUAGAUACCCUGGUAGU